CCGGAGCCGCCCGGAGCCGCCGGGAGCAGGCUCGGGCCGCGGCAGCCCCGCGGGGAGGCAGCGAGGGGCCCCUCGCCGAAAGCGCGAACACCCCCCACACCCCCGCCCCGCCGCCUCCGCCCGCCCCCAGCGAAGAGAAACAAAACACAACCCCGGCACCGCCACGCUCUCCCUCCUUCUCCUCUCGGCAUUUGGUGGUUGUUUUUUGGGGUUUUUUAAAAUUUAUUUUUUCUUUUCUUUUUUUUUUUUUUUUUUUUUUUUUUUUUUUUUUUCUUUUUUUUUUUUUUUUUUUUUUUUUUUUUUUAUUUUUUUUACUGGGGAUUCUCCUCUCUCCUGCCAGACUGACUUAUACGUUCUUGAUAAUUUCUCUUCCCCUCAUUUUUUAUACUCUUCUCCCUGCUUCCAAACCCUGUGUCUGUGUGUUUCAAUACUAUCACAACCUCUGCUAAAUAUAGAUCUUUUUAUACCCUUCCUCCUCUCUGACCCCAUCCAACACCCCUUGUUAAGGUCUUACACCCAGAGCAAGAAAAGUAAAUUCACUUGGCUUACAUAUCUCUAAGGAACCUGAUGCAUGAGUGGACUAGAGAAGAGAAAGAGAGAAAAACUCCCAAGACCUACAGAUCAUCUGGCUGGCAGGGUGAGUAAAUGUCCUGUCAUCACAGUCAUGUGUUGUCAGGUACACAAUGAGUGAGCCUGCUUUAAGCAUUGCCUAAGAAAUUAUUUAUCCAAUAAUUGUUGAGAAAAAGAAGAUCAAAAUGUGUCAUGUUUCCAGGACUCUGACACUGGUGCCUCACAUGCAUUCAGAAGCACUAAGCCAAAUAUCUCCUAUAUUUUCAGUUUAAGCACUGAACAUGGAUUUAAUAGGCAGGCAAUUCUAUAUAGGAAGGAGAGGGUUAAUGUAUGCUGUGCUGUUAAAGCCAUUUUCAAAUGUGGCAGGUGAAACAAAAAUAUCCAUUACUGAAUCAGUCCAAAUGCCUCAUGAUUCAUAAAGAGAUUCAGAAAAGGAAAGAAAGGAGGAAAACUCAUCUGCACAGUGCUGACUGUACUUAGAUUGCUAUUGAUAUGGGUCUGUGUUCCCUGCUUUUCACAUAAGCAACUUUUUAUUGUUUACAAAACACAAUUACAAAAAAAAUUACCUAGCUGAGAAGCAGACAUGCAGUAGACUUAUGUAAUAGUCAAAAUCUGAUUAAAUUAUCCCCUUUUCUUUCUGGCUUUGCCUGUUCCAAAAAGUGGUAGAAGCAGAAACUGUAGCAGGUUCUGGACCAUUUCCUCCAGUUCACAGCAGUGAGUCAGGGGUUCUGUCAAGUAUCAACAACCAAUGUAAGGGAAUCAAGAGCCACAUGUCCAGAGGAUGACUUAUUUUUCAAAAGGAUGAUGCAAAUAGAAAUAGACAAACACAGAAGAAAAUAUGACUCGAAGAUUACCUCCGAGUUCUCUGUCUGGUGGUUUGUGUCUCUACCAAAGACAUAAUAAAAAUGUUUCCCUCCUCCA
RNAcentral lists this long non-coding RNA (1491 nucleotides) under Lonchura striata (white-rumped munia). RNAcentral describes it as "domestica (Bengalese finch) lncRNA (ENSLSDG00000017160.1)". Lineage: Eukaryota; Metazoa; Chordata; Aves; Passeriformes; Estrildidae. The record is from RNAcentral.